CCUACGGGAGGCAGCAGUGGGGAAUAUUGCACAAUGGGGGGAACCCUGAUGCAGCGACGCCGCGUGAGUGAAGAAGUAUUUCGGUAUGUAAAGCUCUAUCAGCAGGGAAGAAAAUGACGGUACCUGACUAAGAAGCCCCGGCUAACUACGUGCCAGCAGCCGCGGCAAUACGUAGGGGGCAAGCGUUAUCCGGAUUUACUGGGUGUAAAGGGAGCGUAGACGGUUAUGCAAGUCUGAAGUGAAAGCCCGAGGCUCAACCAUGGGACUGCUUUGGAAACUGUAAAACUGGAGUGCAGGAGAGGUAAGCGGAAUUCCUAGUGUAGCGGUGAAAUGCGUAGAUAUUAGGAGGAACACCAGUGGCGAAGGCGGCUUACUGGACUGUAACUGACGUUGAGGCUCGAAGGCGUGGGGAGCAAACAGGAUUAGAUACCCGAGUAGUC
This 440-nucleotide ribosomal RNA is filed under the name uncultured bacterium. Its description in RNAcentral is "partial 16S ribosomal RNA". It matches the Rfam family "Bacterial small subunit ribosomal RNA", at positions 338 to 795 of the family's 1533-position model. The record is from RNAcentral.